This 3792-nucleotide long non-coding RNA is filed under the name Sus scrofa (pig). RNAcentral describes it as "lncRNA (ENSSSCG00055018025.1)". The record is from RNAcentral. Lineage: Eukaryota; Metazoa; Chordata; Mammalia; Artiodactyla; Suidae.
GUUCUUCCUCUUGCUUCUCUGGCUAGUCUACAGGGAAGGAGGUGAAAACCACAGCGGCUUCAACUGCCCUGCCCCCUCCUCAGGCUGUGUUUGGUCAAGGGAUGGAUUCCACAAGCAGCUGUUUAUUAUGAACCGGGCAGAACUGCAUCCACUCUGGGAGAUGACAUGAAAGAUGAGGUCUCUUUUCCCAGAGACUCCCAGCUGAAAGGGGGACACAGAUACGUAAAUGGUGCCAUAACCAUAAGCAACAACUCCUCUGUUUUUCUUCAGAGACCCUUCUGUCUCCUCUCUCAGUCCACUGGGCUUUGAUGAUACUGACUAGGAUACGCAUGUGACCCGGUGCUGGCCAUUGAGAAAUCCCAUUCUCCCUGUCUGACUUGUUCAAGAUGAACACAUAUCCUAAUCUUGUCUGUUACUACUAGAACUUUCUAAAAAGGAGUACCCUCUGUCCAGGAUAUAAGCCCAGAGCUGCUAGGGACCACCCUAUAUGGAGAGACCACUGAGAAUGAAGCUGGCAUAGAGGAAAGCAAAGCCAAGAGAUGGCACUAGACAGGUCCUGAUGACAUAGUAUAAGCACCUUGAUCCAGCUGUGCCUGAAGCUCCAGAGGCCAUGUUCUUUACUACACAGAAUCUUACAUGACUGUGCCACCUUUCAUAUGGACACAGAGUGACAUGGAGCCAUGUAGAGGAUAGGCAUAGGGGCACUGCUAGUAACUAAAAAAUUUUGAAACAACUAAAAAAAUCUGUCAACCUGAUCAACAACUGCUGUGUCACUUGUUCAUACAAUGGAUCUCAAAAUGAUAAUAAAAAUGAAUAAAUCAGCAUCCUAUGUAUCAGUGCGGAUGGAUCUCUUAAUGCUUGAGUGAAAAGGAAAAAAGCUGCAGAAGAAAAUACACAAUCUGAAAACUUAUAUAUAAAAUAAGGAAACCCUACAAAAUAAUACCAUAUAUUGUAGUAAAAGGGUCAAGAAAUGGCUAAGAACUGCAUAUCCAAAUUCAGGUUGAUUUCUUUGGCUAAGUGAGGGCUACCUGGGCAUUCAUAAUAUUAUUCUUAAUAUUUUUUUCCUCCUCUCAACAAUUUAUUAUGAAAAUUCAUACAAAAAAUGGAAAGAAUUGUCCAGUGAACUCUCAUACAUUUACAGCUGAGAUAGUGCAAUGAACAUUUUGCUAUCAUAUAUAUAUCCAUCUCCUCAUAUUCUUUUUUUUUUUUUUUUGGCUGUACCUGUGGCAUGUGUUAGUUCCUGGGCCAGGGAUCAAACCCACACCAUAGCAGUGACCUGAGCCACUGCAGUGACAAUGCCGGAUCCUUAACCUGCUGCACCCCCAGGGAAUUCCGAUCUCACCAUAUUCUUGAUACCUUGUUUUAUGUCAGAAAUAUUUUAUAAUUAAAUUUUUUGAAAAGGGGGCUGAAACAGGGAAAAACUCAAAUUUAAAACAAUGAAUUAUAAUUGUCAUAAACUGUUAGUUUCAGAUGUACAACAUAGUGAUUUGAUAUUUUUACACAUUAUGAAGUGAUCAUUGCAGUAGGUCUAGUAACCAUCUGUCACCAUCCAAAGUGGUUAUAAUAUUACUGACUAUAUUCACUAUGCUAUACAUUACAUUCCCAUGACUUAUUUUGUAACUGGAGGUUGGUACUUAAUCUCCUUCACCUAUUUCAUCUAUUUCCCCCACCCCCUGUCCCUCUGGCAACCACUGGUUUGUUCUCUGUAUCUGUGAAUCUGUUUCUGUUUUGUUUAUUCGUUUGUUUUUUAGAUUGCAUGUAUAAGUGAGAUCAUGUGAUAUUUGUCUUUCUCCAUCUGACUUAGUGCUUAGUAUAAUGCCCUCCAUCCAGGUCCAUCCACAUUUGUCUUGCCACAAAUGGCAUGAUUUCAUUCUUUUUUAUGGCUAAGUAAUAGUUCAUUGUGUAUAUGUACCACAUCUUCUUUACCUAUUCAUCUGCUGAUAGACACAGGUUGCUUGCAUUUCUUGGCCUUUGUAAAUAAUGCUGCAGUGAUCAUGGGGGUGCAUGUAUCUUUUCAAAUUAGUGUUUUUGUUUUCUUCAGAUAAAUACCCAGAAGUGGAAUUGCUGGAUCAUAUGGUAGUUCUAUUUUCAGUCUUUGAGGAACCUCCAUACUGUUUUCCAGAAUGGCUGCACCACUUUAUAUUUCUACCCACAGUGGAUAAGUGUUCUGUUUUCACUGCAUCCUCACCAACACUUUUUUUUUUUUUGCUUUUUUAGGGCCACACCUGUGAAGGUCCCAGGCUAGGGCUCGAACCGGAGCUACAGCUGUUGGCCUACACCACAGCCACAAGUCACUUGUUUUUAGAUGCUAGCCAUUCUGAAAGUGUGUGGUGGUAAACCCAUACCUUCAUUGUUUAGAACAGCAUAAAUCAAAAACAAAUGAUGAUCCAAAGCCAAUCUCCUAAACUUCAAAAAAAACAAAAACAAAAAAAGAUGAUCUCCAUAUACGUCAGCGCUCUAUUUAAACAUAAUCAGUUACUUUUCACCAUAGCCAUAGCUAAAUAACUACGUGGCAGGCCUUAGAGAGCUAAGGUUGAAAGGGGGUUCCAGUCUAACUCCCCUAUUUUACAGAUCAGGGAACUGAGUCUCAGAGAAAAGAAGUUGCUCCCCCAAGCUCACAAACUAGUGUUAAGAGAAGCCUGGUUCCUUCUCUUCUCCCCCACUGUUUAUUUUGGCUCCACCCCAGGCCUAAGCAAAUUUCUGAAAUGCCCAGAAGCAAGCAAAGGAUCAAGGCAGCUGAGUUCCUGUAUUCUGGGUGGGAAGGGGAGCAGCCCGUGGCCCUGCUGAGCACACUGGUCAUGAACCGCUGGGAGCAAUACCUGUUGGGCAAUGGGCUGUGGGGAAACCUCACCUAUCUGUGUUUAAAUACCUGAUAAUGUUCUGUUGAAAUGCCUCUUACCAAUUGGGUGUGGCUGCCCAGUGCUAAAAUGUUUUCUGCCCAGUGCUAAGGUGUUUUCUUCCCAGUGCUAAGGUGCUUUCUCUCCCACAGUCAGUCAGAAAUGGGGGAACAUAAGUCUGUUUUUCUCCUGUGCCGGUAUUGUCCUGGUUUGUUCUCCUUUAGGGAGUCCCCAGCUGAAGUUUUAAGGACAGGCGGCAGGGCAGAAAAGGACCUGAGAUCAGGAAACUGGUCUUAGCUCUGGUCUUUGGAUGUUGCUUUGUAUAAUUCAUCUCCUUUUUCUAGGCCCCUGUCUGCCCUCCUCUCUGAUACAUGAGAAGGUGAUAAAAUGAUCUCCAAGUUCUCUUCUAGCUCCAACUUUCCAUGACUUUAUCAUUUUAUAUGAUUCUUUGGGAGCAUCCUGUAGGCAGCAGGAGGUCUGGAGGAAAAACUAGAGGGUGGGCAAAUCCUGGGUGGGGUGGGGGUGGAGCUGACUUCUGUCUUAACCCAGGCUGUAUUCCCAGUUCUCAUCGGUGUCUGGCAUACAGUGAGUACGCAAAUAUUUUCUUUCUUCUUGGGGUGGGGUUAGUGAUUUGUUAGAUUCUUUACUGGGAAUAGCUGCCAAGGUGGGCUGACAUCUUGUAUAACCUCCUCCAAAGUCUGUUUACUCUCAGAAGAUGCCUGAAUGCACCAGGAACAAACCUAAAGUAUUUCGAACUGUUGAACUUUCAGCUGGGGUAUAACCCCAAAUUUGUGGGGCUGGCGGCUACAGAAACCAGAGAUGCCACUUGAAGUGAGAAUUUAGCACCAUCUAGUGACUUAGUUGGGAAUCACAGGAGUGAUUUCCUUUUUUUGGUUUUUCUGAGAAAGCAGCAGUAAAGCCAUUAAAUAUACCAUUAAAAUAAACAAAGAAAAUC